GACGAACGCUGGCGGCGUGCUUAACACAUGCAAGUCGAACGGAAAGGCCCUGCUUUUGUAGGUUGCUCGAGUGGCGAACGGGUGAGUAACACGUGAGUAACCUGCCCUUGACUUUGGGAUAACUUCAGGAAACUGGGGCUAAUACCGGAUAGGAGCUCCUGCUGCAUGGUGGGGGUUGGAAAGUUUCGGUGGUUGGGGAUGGACUCUCGGGUUAUCAGCUUGUUGGUGGGGUAGUGGCUUACCAAGGCUUUGACGGGUAGCCGGCCUGAGAGGGUGACCGGCCACAUUGGGACUGAGAUACGGCGCAGACUCCUACGGGAGGCAGCAGUGGGGAAUAUUGCACAAUGGGCGGGAGCCUGAUGCAGCAACGCCGCGUGCGGGAUAACGGCCUUCGGGUUGUAAACCGCUUUCGCCUGUGACGAAGCGUGAGUGACGGUAAUGGGUAAAGAAGCACCGGCUAACUACGUG
RNAcentral lists this ribosomal RNA (468 nucleotides) under uncultured bacterium. Its description in RNAcentral is "partial 16S ribosomal RNA". It matches the Rfam family "Bacterial small subunit ribosomal RNA", at positions 28 to 507 of the family's 1533-position model. The record is from RNAcentral.